UACGAAGGGGGCUAGCGUUGUUCGGAAUCACUGGGCGUAAAGGGCGCGUAGGCGGCCGUUCAAGUCGGGGGUGAAAGCCUGUGGCUCAACCACAGAAUGCCCUUCGAUACUGGACGGCUCGAGACCGGAAGAGGUCAGUGGAACUCCGAGUGUAGAGGUGAAAUUCGUAGAUAUUCGGAAGAACACCAGUGGCGAAGGCGGCUCACUGGUCCGGUACUGACGCUGAGGUGCGAAAGCGUGGGGAGCAAACAGG
This 253-nucleotide ribosomal RNA is filed under the name uncultured bacterium. Its description in RNAcentral is "partial 16S ribosomal RNA". It matches the Rfam family "Bacterial small subunit ribosomal RNA", at positions 524 to 776 of the family's 1533-position model. The record is from RNAcentral.